Molecule: ribosomal RNA, 497 nt
Filed under: uncultured bacterium
Lineage: Bacteria
Description: partial 16S ribosomal RNA
Rfam family: Bacterial small subunit ribosomal RNA
Source: RNAcentral
GAUGAACGCUGGCGGCGUGCCUAAUACAUGCCAGUCGAGCGAACAGACGCGGAGCUUGCUCCUCUGACGUUAGCGGCGGACGGGUGAGUAACACGUGGAUAACCUCCCUAUAAGACUGGUAUAACUUCGGGAAACCGGCGCUAAUACCGGAUAAUAUAUUGAACCGCAUGGUUCAAUAGUGAAAGACGGUUUUGCUGUCACUUAUAGAUGGAUCCGCGCCGCAUUAGCUAGUUGGUAAGGUAACGGCUUACCAAGGCGACCAUGCGUAGCCGACCUGAGGGGGUGAUCGGCCACCCUGGAACUUGGACACGGUCCAGACGCCUACGGGAGGCAGCAGUAGGGAAUCGUCCGCAACGGGCGAAAGCAUGACGGAGCAACGCCGCGCGAGUGAUGAAGGUCUUCGGAGCGUAAAACUCUGUUAUUAGUGAAGAACAAAUGUGUACGUAACUAUGCACGUCUUGACGGUACCUAAUCAGAAAGCCCCGGCUAACUACGUG